AUUGAACGCUGGCGGCAGGCCUAACACAUGCAAGUCGAACGGUAACAGAAAGCAGCUUGCUGCUUUGCUGACGAGUGGCGGACGGGUGAGUAAUGUCUGGGAAACUGCCUGAUGGAGGGGGAUAACUACUGGAAACGGUAGCUAAUACCGCAUAACGUCGCAAGACCAAAGAGGGGGACCUUCGGGCCUCUUGCCAUCGGAUGUGCCCAGAUGGGAUUAGCUAGUAGGUGGGGUAACGGCUCACCUAGGCGACGAUCCCUAGCUGGUCUGAGAGGAUGACCGGCCACACUGGAACUGAGACACGGUCCAGACUCCUACGGGAGGCAGCAGUGGGGAAUAUUGCACAAUGGGCGCAAGCCUGAUGCAGCCAUGCCGCGUGUAUGAAGAAGGCCUUCGGGUUGUAAAGUACUUUCAGCGGGGAGGAAGGGAGUAAAGUUAAUACCUUUGCUCAUUGACGUUACCCGCAGAAGAAGCACCGGCUAACUCCGUG
Molecule: ribosomal RNA, 490 nt
Filed under: uncultured bacterium
Lineage: Bacteria
Description: partial 16S ribosomal RNA
Rfam family: Bacterial small subunit ribosomal RNA
Source: RNAcentral